RNAcentral lists this ribosomal RNA (310 nucleotides) under uncultured bacterium. RNAcentral describes it as "bacterial SSU rRNA". It matches the Rfam family "Bacterial small subunit ribosomal RNA", at positions 29 to 334 of the family's 1533-position model. The record is from RNAcentral.
AACGAACGCUGGUGGUAUGCCUAAUACAUGCAAGUCGAACGAGAAAGCACUUCGGUGUGAGUACAGUGGCGCACGGGUGAGUAACACGUAGGUGAUCUGCCUUUUAGUGGGGGAUAACAUCGGGAAACCGUUGCUAAUACCGCAUAUGAUAAGUGACAUUGGAAAAACUUAUUAAAGGGGGCUUCGGCUCUCGCUAGAAGAGGAGCCUGCGGAACAUUAGUUUGAUGGUGGGGUAACGGCCUACCAUGGCUAUGAUGUUUAGCUGGUCUGAGAGGAUGAUCAGUCACACUGGAACUGAGACACGGUCCAG